This 1276-nucleotide ribosomal RNA is filed under the name Pinus taeda (loblolly pine). RNAcentral's name for it is "SSU rRNA". It matches the Rfam family "Eukaryotic small subunit ribosomal RNA", at positions 528 to 1823 of the family's 1831-position model. The record is from RNAcentral. Lineage: Eukaryota; Viridiplantae; Streptophyta; Pinopsida; Pinales; Pinaceae.
AAUCCCUUAAUGAGGAUCCAUUAGAGGGCAAGUCUGGUGCCAGCAGCCACGGUAAUUCUAGCUCCAAUAGCGUAUAUUUAAGUUGCUACAGUUAAAAAGCUCGUAGUUGGAUCUUGGGUCGUAAAGGUCGGUCCGCCUACUCGGUGUGCACUUGCCCUUCCGUCCCUUUUGUCGGCAGUGUGCUCCUGACCUUAAUUGGCUGGGUCACGGAUCUGACGCUGUUACUUUGAAAAAAUUAGAGUGCUCAAAGCAAGCUUAUGCUCUGAAUACAUUAGCAUGGAAUAACGUGAUAGGAGUCUAGUCCUAACAUGUUGGCCUUUGGGACUGGAGUAAUGAUUAAUAGGGACUGACGGGGGCAUUCGUAUUUCAUUGUCAAAGGUGAAAUUCUUGGAUUUAUGAAAGACGGACCACUGCGAAAGCAUUUGCCAAGGAUGUUUUCAUUAAUCAAGAAGGAAAGUUGGGGGCUCGAAGACGAUCAGAUACCAUCCUAGUCUCAACCAUAAACGAUGCCGACCAGGGAUGGGCAUAUGUUUCUCUAAGGACUCUACCAGCACCUUCUGAGUAAUCAAAGUGUUUGGGUUCUGGGGGGAGUAUGGUCACAAGGCUGAAACUUAAAGGAAUUGACGGAAGGGCACCACCAGGAGUUGAGCCUGCGGCUUAAUUUGACUCAACACGGGGAAACUUACCAAGUCCAGACAUAGUAAGGAUUGAUAGAUUGAGAGCUCUUUCUUGAUUCUAUGGGUGGUGGUGCAUGGUCGUUCUUAGUUGGUGGAGCGAUUUGUCUGGUUAAUUCCGAUAACGAAUGAGACCUCAGCCUGCUAACUAGCUACGCGGAGGUUCCCCUUCGUGGCCAGCUUCUUAGAGGGACUAUGGCCGUUUAGGCCAUGGAAGUUUGAGGCAAUAACAGGUCUGUGAUGCCCUUAGAUGUUCUGGGCCACACACGCGCUACACUGAUGCAGCAAACGAGCUUUUCUUCCUGGUUCGAGAGGAUCGGGAAAUCUUCUCAAAUUGCAUCAUGAUGGGGAUAGACCAUUGCAUUUAUUGGUCUUCAACAAAGAAUUCCUAGUAAGCGCGUGUCAUCAACUCGUGUUGACUACGUCCCUGCCCUUUGUACACACUGCCCGUCGCUCCUACCGAUUGAAUGAUCCGGUGAGGUGUUCGGAUUGCGUCGACGAUGGUGGUUCGUCGCCAUCGACGUCAUGAGAAGUUCAUUGAACCUUAUCAUUUAGAGGAAGGAGAAGUCGUAACAAGGUUACCGUAGGUGAACUUGCGGUAG